UUUAAAAUGAAAUUAUGACUAUUAGAAUAAAAUAAAAAUAUAGAAUAAAAUAUUCAAUUUUCUAAUAAAACAAUAUUUUUAGAACAAUGUGUAAAUAAUUUUUACAACGUAAAAGCAAAAUAAAUUCAUACAUAUUGUAAUACAGAUAACCAAAGUAUAAAAUUUAAUUUACAGUGACACGUGGGCCCAUGAAUGACUAAAAGUAUCAAAAGAAAUGAACUUACAAUUUUUGGAUGUGGUAAGUCCAACUGUAGUCCUUGCCGAUAUCAAUUAUCUACAAUCUCUUCUGAACUUGAAAUAGGUGGAAAAGAGGGUGGUGAGAUUAUAAAAUCCCAGUGAGUAAACAAAUAACAUUUAAAAUAUCUAAAGGCGAGUAACAGAAGACUAUUAAAACAUUUCAUCAAACUGUAAUUUAUCAUCUUUCAACUUAUUUCAACCAAAUGAAAUCAUUUUAUUUACAUCAAGUAAUCAGUAUGGCUUAUGAAUUUCUUAAAAGCUUGGUUCAUACCAAAAAUUAUUAUCAUACUCAGUUAUCUAGGAUACCUUGGCCGAGAGCUAUCCCAACUGAGUCCGCCAAGGCUAUUAGAAAGUCAUGUACGCAUAAAUCAUGUUUUUAUUUUGAAAACAUAGCCAUUCCUUGGUGUUGGCCGAGUUUCCCCUCACGUGGUGGUUUGGCGUGAAGUGAACUCUAAAAGUUAUACCUUGGAAGUUACCCUACUCACCUUUCCAACCGAGGUAAAAUAUAACGGGGUUUACCGUGCCCCUCUAAUAGGCUAGUCCACGGAAACCUGCCUACUGAAGUAAGCUAAUAAUUAUCCCACCAAUCAAUAAAAUUCAAUAACAUGAUACGACAAUUAUUGUAAUUCACAACCUUUCAAGGCUAAAUACACAUUUCAUAUAUUUCAACACAAAUAUCAAUUUAGCCAUUCAUGCAAAUAUUGUCAUAAGCCAUUCGAUUCAAAUCAUAAAUUUUACAACAUAACAAGUGGUCUCCAAUUACUCUAUUUUUCAAAAUCAUUAUUCAAUUUCACGACAAUUUAUAAAAUCUUUUCAUGUAAACACAUUUUGUUUAUAAAACACAAAGAUUUACCAUUUAAACUCAUUUUCAUAAAAUUUCACCAAAAUCGAUUAAAAACAUACUUUAGAUAAUUAAAAUGAUGAUAAGGUUACUCACAGUACUAGGAGUUCAAUAUACUCUUUUUCCCGAUCUUCGGGCACAAUCUCUUUACCCUUGUUAGAGGGCUCACCACCUAUACAUCAUACGUGACACGAGUUUCAAUAAAUUGUGUCAAUUUAUCAUAAACUAUUCCAGGCUCUAUAAAUCUAUAUGAAUGCAUGAAAUGUGAUGCAAAAUGUCCGAAUAGCCGUUUAAAUACGGUAUUCGACCUAAUUCGCACUAUUCUCGGUGUAAUUGGCUAAAACCUCCAAUUUAACUACAAAUCAAUUUCUUUCACUUUCUACACUCCAAUUAUACCUAAAUUACCUCAGUGACUGUGAAUGAGAUUCAAUUUAUCAGUCCCAGGUCAAUAAUCACACAUGUCUAUACAUUAGGUAAAAAUUUAGAUUUUCACACCAAAAUUUCUCAUUUAAUUUCUAGCCUCACCAAACAUCAAAUAUCACCAAAAUAUCAUGAAAUAUCAUCAAUUGCAGCCACAAUAUCGUCCCUAGGAAAUUCGGCCAUAGAUGGUUGAUGGGGAAAAUGAAUUCUUUUCUUAUUGUUUUGUUUCUAAAUAUGCUAAACUAACUAAAAACAUUAAUAUAACUUAAAAUCAAAUCAAUCUAACAUCUUUCUCUCUCCAUACCCAUUUUGACAGCCAUGAAUUCAUCAUGAAAACAUGAAAUCUAACCAUGAAAAAUAAGGAGAAAUGCAUGGGAAAGGUAGAUCACAAGUCAAAAUCAAGAAAUUUUACCUUUAUUAGCUUAAUCCCUUGAAAUCCCACACUUUUUAUUUAAUUUUCUCACCUAGGGUUCUUGUUUUUUUUCCUUUCCUCCUUUGUUCUUCUUUGGCCGGUCAUAUG
Molecule: long non-coding RNA, 2018 nt
Filed under: Theobroma cacao (cacao)
Lineage: Eukaryota; Viridiplantae; Streptophyta; Magnoliopsida; Malvales; Malvaceae
Description: long non-coding RNA (TCAC_LNC004662)
Source: RNAcentral